Molecule: ribosomal RNA, 698 nt
Filed under: Microbacterium oxydans
Lineage: Bacteria; Bacillati; Actinomycetota; Actinomycetes; Micrococcales; Microbacteriaceae
Description: bacterial SSU rRNA
Rfam family: Bacterial small subunit ribosomal RNA
Source: RNAcentral
GCCGCGUGAGGGACGACGGCCUUCGGGUUGUAAACCUCUUUUAGCAGGGAAGAAGCGAAAGUGACGGUACCUGCAGAAAAAGCGCCGGCUAACUACGUGCCAGCAGCCGCGGUAAUACGUAGGGCGCAAGCGUUAUCCGGAAUUAUUGGGCGUAAAGAGCUCGUAGGCGGUUUGUCGCGUCUGCUGUGAAAUCCGGAGGCUCAACCUCCGGCCUGCAGUGGGUACGGGCAGACUAGAGUGCGGUAGGGGAGAUUGGAAUUCCUGGUGUAGCGGUGGAAUGCGCAGAUAUCAGGAGGAACACCGAUGGCGAAGGCAGAUCUCUGGGCCGUAACUGACGCUGAGGAGCGAAAGGGUGGGGAGCAAACAGGCUUAGAUACCCUGGUAGUCCACCCCGUAAACGUUGGGAACUAGUUGUGGGGUCCAUUCCACGGAUUCCGUGACGCAGCUAACGCAUUAAGUUCCCCGCCUGGGGAGUACGGCCGCAAGGCUAAAACUCAAAGGAAUUGACGGGGACCCGCACAAGCGGCGGAGCAUGCGGAUUAAUUCGAUGCAACGCGAAGAACCUUACCAAGGCUUGACAUAUACGAGAACGGGCCAGAAAUGGUCAACUCUUUGGACACUCGUAAACAGGUGGUGCAUGGUUGUCGUCAGCUCGUGUCGUGAGAUGUUGGGUUAAGUCCCGCAACGAGCGCAACCCU